CUGGUUGAUCCUGCCAGUAGUCAUAUGCUUGUCUCAAAGAUUAAGCCAUGCAUGUCUAAGUAUAAGCAAUUAUACCGCGAAACUGCGAAUGGCUCAUUAUACAAGUUAUCGUUUAUUUGAUAGCACAUUUACCUACUUGGAUAACCGUGGUAAUUCUAGAGCUAAUACAUGCUAAAAAUCCCGACUUCGGAAGGGAUGUAUUUAUUAGAUUAAAAGCCAACGCCCUUCGGGGCUUCUUGGUGAUUCAUGAUAACUGGUCGAAUCGCAUGGCCUUGCGCCGGCGAUGGUUCAUUCAAAUUUCUUCCCUAUCAACUUUCGAUGCGAAGGUCUUGUCUUCGCAUGGUUGCAACGGGUAACGGAGGGUUAGGGCUCGGCCCCGGAGAAGGAGCCUGAGAAACGGCUACUACAUCCAAGGAAGGCAGCAGGCGCGCAAAUUACCCAAUCCCGACACGGGGAGGUAGUGACAAUAAAUACUGAUACAGAGCUCUUUUGGGUCUUGUAAUCGGAAUGAGUACAAUUUAAAUCCCUUAACGAGGAACAAUUGGAGGGCAAGUCUGG
This 558-nucleotide ribosomal RNA is filed under the name uncultured Basipetospora. Its description in RNAcentral is "SSU rRNA". It matches the Rfam family "Eukaryotic small subunit ribosomal RNA", at positions 4 to 564 of the family's 1831-position model. The record is from RNAcentral. Lineage: Eukaryota; Fungi; Ascomycota; Eurotiomycetes; Eurotiales; Elaphomycetaceae.